CCACACCGUCACUCUCUCUCUUCUCUCCCCCUCUCUCUCACCUGCCGCCACCUCCCACACCACCACCAUCCCGACGAUCUGCUCCUCCGUCUUCUCCGGCGACAUCACCGUCGCUCUGGCGACAUCACCGUCGCUCCGGCGACAUCACCGUCUCCUCCGUCUUCUCCGGCAACAUCACCGUCUCCUCCGUCUUCUCCUGCGACAUAACCGUCUCCUCCGUUCCAGUGGGGGUGGUGGGUUUAAUGGUGUUUGUUGCUGGUUUGGGUUGUUGCAGGUUGGGGUUAGGGUUCUAGUGGGGGUGGUGAUGGUGGAGACGGUGGUGGGUGAAGGAGAGAGAGAGAGAAUCGAUGGUGGUGGGUGGGUUGUGUGGGUGGUUUUGGUGGAAGCAAAGAAGUUAUUUCCUCACACUUGAUGUAUACUCUUCACAUAAAGGUUGUCUUCCGGUCACUUUGACAUAAUAAUUUUGCCCUAUAAAUACUUCCAAAACUGCAUUCUCUAUGUACACUGACGACUCAAACUUUAAAAUCAGAGACGAUUGAUGGUGGGCUUGUAAAUAUUUGGAGGAGAAGUGAUGAGAGAGGGAAGAGAGAGAGAAGGGAGAGUUUUUUAUUUCUUUUUUUAUUUUUCAAUGUUUUACAUAUAGUCCUUAAGUAAUAAUUUAUUACAAAAUAACCCAUAGGAGGCAAAAUGACAAAACUGCCCUCAUGUGCAAGGCACAUGACCAACUUUAACAAAAAAAUCUAACUGAGUUUGGCUUAAAGGACAUAACGUGCAGGAUUUUGAAACGUUAAGGACAAAACUCGUCAAUUUUAAAGACAAAGGACAGCGCCUGAAAUUUGAGACAAACAUAAAGGACAAAACUUGUAAUUUACUCUAUUUUUUAUCAUAACUAUGAUAGUGUUUUUCUUUAUUUGGUUAACUCGAUGCAUCUUUUUUUAUAUUGUGUUACAAGUAGCAUGUAUAACUAACUGAAAUAAAUGUGUACAUAAUAUUAAACUAAGAAAUAUUUGGU
RNAcentral lists this long non-coding RNA (1012 nucleotides) under Helianthus annuus (common sunflower). RNAcentral's name for it is "sRNA HanXRQr2_Chr06g0267321". Lineage: Eukaryota; Viridiplantae; Streptophyta; Magnoliopsida; Asterales; Asteraceae. The record is from RNAcentral.